This 301-nucleotide long non-coding RNA is filed under the name Manacus vitellinus (golden-collared manakin). RNAcentral's name for it is "lncRNA (ENSMVIG00005009785.1)". Lineage: Eukaryota; Metazoa; Chordata; Aves; Passeriformes; Pipridae. The record is from RNAcentral.
AAAAACUGAAAUCAUGAAGACAAAAGAUGUGCACAGACCACAUUGAUUUUGGCAACAAGAUAAAUCUUUGAUUGAGCUCUGAAUCGGUCCCAGAAGGGUCAAAAGACUGGAAACCCAAGGAUAUUCAUGUUACUGGGAAAACUGAAAUUUGGGAAACAGCAGCUGUGGCACUGGCAUUUCUCUUCUCAUCAUUUUGGACUAUGACUGCAUAAACUAAGCAUAUCCACAAAGCAACUGUACUGAUUCAUCUUGAUCUAUUUUCUUCUAUUAUGACACUGUUAUAUUAAAAUAAAGACCAAUG